GGAUUUCAGAUGUUCUGAAACAUGCUGCAACAGUUUGAUUUGCAAGCAGCGAUGCGAUGGAAGAGACGCUGAAGAAUGGGAAUUUAAAUAGACCGCAUGUGAUAGGUGUCAACACUGGAUUGGUACACGUCAGGAACAGCUGACUGUCGGCUGAAGCAAUCUUGACUAACGUGGCCUGCCUGAACUAAUGUGAUGCUGAAUUUUAAUAAAAGAUAGGAAACCUGAGGUGAAUACCAUUUAAGGGUAAAGAAUAUAUUUAAAUUGAACUCAGGGCGCUGUCUCUUUCACAGAGUCAAAAAAGUGCUACACACUGUAUCUGGAUGCUACUGGUUGUCACAAUUUGCUACUGUGAAGGAGCACAGAGCAAGGAAUGAGGAGACCAGGAGUACAUCAACAAGGAAUUUAUUCAGAUGUCAGGGAAUCACACGUAGCACAAGGAGUAGAUAUAAACAAAACACGGGACAGACUCUGACAUAACGACCCCUCCAGAAGGCGUGACCUCAUGCCACAUAACAUCCAACGGGGAGGAGGGGUGGGCACUCUGGAGGUCCCUCAGGACAGACAUGGGACAGUGGUAGAACCCGUGGGGGGAGUCAUGGCGGAUCAGGGGACUUGGGAGGCCAUGGUGGAUCUGUGGACUCGGAAGCCAUGCCGGUUCUAGAGACUCUGGAGGCCAUGGCGGAUCUGGGGACUCGGGAGGCCAUGGCAUAGCAGCCUCUGAGGCCGCUGUCCAUGCCCCCGCCUCUGCCACUUUACAGGGCUAUAUUUAGGGUCUGGAGCCCUCCCUAGGUUUUACGUGCCCUCCGUGGGCUAUAUUCGGGAACAGGAGCCCUUCCUGGGCUGAACUGGGCAUCGGGAGCCCUCCUUGGGCUUAACUCUGGAUCAGGAGCCCUCUGUGGGCUGUACUCUGGAACAGGAGUCCUCCGUGGGCUUAAUCGGGAUUGGGAGCCCUUCCUGGGCUUGACUGGGGAUUGGGAGCCCUCCAUGGGCAAUACUCUGGGACUGGGCCAACACUGGAGUGAAUUCUGGGGCCUGGGUCGACACCCUUCUCCUCACCCCUAGUUUCCUUUUCUGGAUCAGGGGGAAAAGGCGUCGUCUGGAAUUAUUACCCUGGUUAUCAGUCCCUGCAUGCUAGAUACAAAGAACACAUACUACACCAUG
Molecule: long non-coding RNA, 1161 nt
Organism: Cyprinus carpio carpio
Lineage: Eukaryota; Metazoa; Chordata; Actinopteri; Cypriniformes; Cyprinidae
Source: Ensembl